RNAcentral lists this long non-coding RNA (475 nucleotides) under Dasypus novemcinctus (nine-banded armadillo). RNAcentral describes it as "lncRNA (ENSDNOG00000052717.1)". Lineage: Eukaryota; Metazoa; Chordata; Mammalia; Cingulata; Dasypodidae. The record is from RNAcentral.
CUGCUUUCCAGAGGCUGCAGGGCCAGGGAGGGAGGGCUGCAAUGACUUGGCUUCCAGGCAGCUGGCGUGAGCUUCCGCAGGCUCCCUUCCUCAAAGAGCCUCCUCUUUACUGAAAGUUCAGGCUGCUGUGGUUUCCCCACAUUCACUCAGGGGAAAGAUCAAACCCUCACGAAAAUGUUUACCAGGAACUGUCUGUCAGUCAGUCAACAAGCGUUUACUGACAGCUGCAGCUCAUACCCUGGGCUGGCGCCGCGGAGGCGUGGGGGACGAAUCAGCCACAGACCUGUCCUGCAGAAGGGAGCUGGAGAGAGCCAGGCAGAGGGAGAGAGGCCGGGCGGGGAGGGCUGCCGGCGCAGAGGGCCUGGCGGUGGGAGGGCAUGCCCUGCUCAGGCUGAAACCGUCAUGCCCGUGGCCCCCCAAAUCACAGCUGGCGGUGUGCUGGCACUGAGCUCCCAGAGGCGUCUCAGACCUGGAC